Non-coding RNA from Pelobates cultripes (western spadefoot toad), 232 nucleotides. The record is from the annotation of a GenBank genome assembly. NCBI's taxonomy places the organism in Eukaryota, Metazoa, Chordata, Amphibia, Anura, Pelobatidae.
GUGCAAAGUGAGCCGUUAUAUACAAAAUAAAUAAUAACACUUACCAAAUCAGGUGUGUGUAGUGCCGUCCCUCGAACCCGGAAGUGUGUUAGGCGGGACACGUGAUCACCGAAAAGUGCGUGAAUUGCGUAAUGACGUGUAGCCCGGUUACUAGGCUACAGGUAUAAAUAUACAGUAUAUUAAAAACCGUGCCAUUUAUAAAGUGCAAAUGUGAUCUAAAAACAAGUAAUGG